RNAcentral lists this unclassified non-coding RNA (1165 nucleotides) under Drosophila mojavensis. Its description in RNAcentral is "GI19035". Lineage: Eukaryota; Metazoa; Arthropoda; Insecta; Diptera; Drosophilidae. The record is from RNAcentral.
UUGACUGAACUUUCCAAAUUUUUUAAUUGAAUUUAUACCAGGAUUAUGUUAUUCAUCAAAUUUUCGUAUCGACUUUUUAUGGGCGCUUUUAGUGCCAACUCGGAAAAUUCAAUGCUGAGCAACAUGAGUAAUAUAUCCUUGCAUACGAAGCAUGUCACAGAUAUCCAUAAGAUAGGCAAGGCCAGAGAGAACGUUUACUUUCGAAAACAACAAUACGAUCAACUACAAAAAUUAAAGAAAAUCAAUGAGGAGCAAAAGGCAAAAAUUAAUGAGAAAAUUGAUGAGUUAUAUGAAGAGAUUGAGGAGAUCUCGACAGAGAUUGAGAAAAUGAAAGAUGAUAAAUGAAUGGAAGUUCGACUCAAGCCUAACUAGACAUUUUUUUUUUAAAUUAGAAUGCUGCCUGUGUUCAAGGCGCUUGAGUCCGUUCGGUUUGUCAAACCGAUCUUUGAUGCAAUUCCACAGGGCUCGAUUUUUAUCAUGUCUCGUCAUUAUACCAAGGAGAUUUAUGAGAGAGCCCGUGCCGUAGAGAAUGCGCAUUUUCUAAAAAUUCAAAAUGAGCAGCUCAGAAAUCUGCGGAACAAAAUUGCUAGAGAAAGAGGCCUGCGGGAGCAUAAAGUGGAAGCCAGUUUGCAAAUGAAGAGCCAAAAGACGGACAGCAAUCGGAAUUUGCAUCAGACUCAAAGUGUGAUAACCCAGCAAGCAGAUAAUUAAAAUGAUGUUUUUGUGAUAAAUUAGUAAAAUGAUUGUGGUAACGGGGCCAAGUCGCCGACUCGAUCACACAGAGGUGCGGUAAGGAAUAUCAUCAGGUUGCUGCAAAGGACAUAUCGACAGAGCCGCAUAACCGAAGAAGAAAAGGCGAAAAUUACCAAAGCAAAGAUCUCGGCUAUGUGGAGCAAACAAGUUGAGAAUUUAUUGCGGAAACGUGAAAUGUUGUCCCUCAUCAGGGAAUAUAUUGUGCUGCAGGAGCGCUAUGUGAGCUCAAGAUUGACAACGAACAAGCGGCUGCUCGCCCAUGCAAAAUACUUACAAGUCACCAGGAAAAGAUCUCCACUGUAGACAGAUAUAUAUGCUAGCCAUUGAAAUGGGAUAUGCCACGUUGCUUUACAGGAAGCGUUACAUAACAGAGGUAAACAAAAUAAAAAUAAAAACAGAAAAAUAAUGCUGC